AGAACGACUCUCGGCAACGGAUAUCUCGGCUCUCGCAUCGAUGAAGAACGUAGCGAAAUGCGAUACUUGGUGUGAAUUGCAGAGUCCCGUGAACCAUCGAGUCUUUGAACGCAAGUUGCGCCCGAAGCCUUCUGGCCGAGGGCACGUCUGUCUGGGCGUCA
RNAcentral lists this ribosomal RNA (161 nucleotides) under Rheum tanguticum. Its description in RNAcentral is "5.8S ribosomal RNA". It matches the Rfam family "5.8S ribosomal RNA". Rfam says of the family: 5.8S ribosomal RNA (5.8S rRNA) is a component of the large subunit of the eukaryotic ribosome. It is transcribed by RNA polymerase I as part of the 45S precursor that also contains 18S and 28S rRNA. Lineage: Eukaryota; Viridiplantae; Streptophyta; Magnoliopsida; Caryophyllales; Polygonaceae. The record is from RNAcentral.